Molecule: transfer RNA, 84 nt
Filed under: Treponema sp.
Lineage: Bacteria; Pseudomonadati; Spirochaetota; Spirochaetia; Treponematales; Treponemataceae
Description: tRNA-Leu
Rfam family: tRNA
About the family: Transfer RNA (tRNA) molecules are approximately 80 nucleotides in length. Their secondary structure includes four short double-helical elements and three loops (D, anti-codon, and T loops). Further hydrogen bonds mediate the characteristic L-shaped molecular structure. tRNAs have two regions of fundamental functional importance: the anti-codon, which is responsible for specific mRNA codon recognition, and the 3' end, to which the tRNAs corresponding amino acid is attached (by aminoacyl-tRNA synthetases). tRNAs cope with the degeneracy of the genetic code in two manners: having more than one tRNA (with a specific anti-codon) for a particular amino acid; and 'wobble' base-pairing, i.e. permitting non-standard base-pairing at the 3rd anti-codon position.
Source: RNAcentral
GCCCAGAUGGUGGAAUUGGUAGACACGCUGGUUUCAGGUACCAGUGCCGUCACAGGCAUGGAAGUUCAAGUCUUCUUCUGGGCA